RNAcentral lists this ribosomal RNA (253 nucleotides) under uncultured bacterium. RNAcentral's name for it is "partial 16S ribosomal RNA". It matches the Rfam family "Bacterial small subunit ribosomal RNA", at positions 524 to 776 of the family's 1533-position model. The record is from RNAcentral.
UACAGAGGGUGCAAGCGUUGUUCGGAAUUAUUGGGCGUAAAGGGCGCGCAGGCGGCUCUGAAAGUCAGAUGUGAAAGCCCCGGGCUUAACCUGGGAAUUGCAUUUGAUACUCUGGAGCUUGAGUAUGGGAGAGGUGAGCGGAAUUUCCGGUGUAGCGGUGAAAUGCGUAGAUAUCGGAAGGAACACCUGUGGCGAAAGCGGCUCACUGGACCAUUACUGACGCUGAGGCACGAAAGCUAGGGGAGCAAACAGG